AUUGAACGCUGGCGGCAGGCCUAACACAUGCAAGUCGAACGGUAACAGGAAGCAGCUUGCUGCUUCGCUGACGAGUGGCGGACGGGUGAGUAAUGUCUGGGAAGCUGCCUGAUGGAGGGGGAUAACUACUGGAAACGGUAGCUAAUACCGCAUAAUGUCGCAAGACCAAAGAGGGGGACCUUCGGGCCUCUUGCCAUCGGAUGUGCCCAGGUGGGAUUAGCUUGUUGGUGGGGUAACGGCUCACCAAGGCGACGAUCCCUAGCUGGUCUGAGAGGAUGACCAGCCACACUGGAACUGAGACACGGUCCAGGCUCCUACGGGAGGCAGCAGUGGGGAAUAUUGCACAAUGGGCGCAAGCCUGAUGCAGCCAUGCCGCGUGUAUGAAGAAGGCGUUCGGGUUGUAAAGUACUUUCAGCGGGGAGGAAGGGAGUAAAGUUAAUACCUUGGCUCAUUGACGUUACCCGCAGAAGAAGCACCGGCUAACUCCGUG
Molecule: ribosomal RNA, 490 nt
Filed under: uncultured bacterium
Lineage: Bacteria
Description: partial 16S ribosomal RNA
Rfam family: Bacterial small subunit ribosomal RNA
Source: RNAcentral